AGCGAAAAUUACAGAGAAAGGUACAGACGAAGAAAUGCCAUUCUACUAACGGAAAUAUUGCUUUUGAGCUCGAGUAUUUAAAUAAUAUAAUGAAGAAGGCGAAUAUCGAGUGAGUGGCCCACAAAUUUUGAGGCUUAAAAAUAAAUCUUCGGGUUGUCUUCCAACCAAUGAAAGCACGGAUAUGGUCACGUGAUUGUGUUGGUACAAACAAACAGCCGAAACAAAACUCAAGUAGCUAUGAAUCACUUAAAUUUCGCAAUUAGGAAUUAAAAUCUACUGGUACACAGACGUCUUUGGCAAAACCGCGUGCUAUCUCCUGCAAUUGGUUAACCACUAAGCUGAAGAACAGUUUAUGCUUCGUAACAUCUGAGCUUUUCAGUAAAAAAGUUCUUAAUCUUCAUAAUAGUACUGUCAAGAAACAUUCGCGAUGGAUUUCUUCGCAAAAAAACCAACCAUGAAAAAACAAAUGCAUGAUGUGGAUAGGCAGCUGAGGAAAACUGGAAGAGAGGUUGAUAGGGAUAGACGAGAAUUAGAGAAGGAGGAAAAGAAAUUGGAGAUGGAGAUUAAAAAUGCAGCAAAAACUGGAAAUAAGCAAGCUUGCACAGUACUAGCCAAACAAUUGGUACAACUUCGAAAACAAAAAGAGCGGACAUAUGCUGCCAAUAGCAAGAUUACCUCAAUAAAUUCCCAAACAAAAGUAAUGGGUGCUAACAUGAAACUAGCUGGAGCUAUGACAACCGCUACUCAAAGUAUGGUGGCAAUGAACAAAACCCUGAAGCCAGAACAGUUGAGUCGAACUAUGCAGGAGUUUGGCAAAGCUUCCACCCAAAUGGAAAUGACUGAAGAGAUGAUGAGUGAUGCCUUGGAUGACAUUUUGAAUGAAAGUGGAGAUGAGGAAGCAGGUGAUUCUAUUGUCCAGCAAGUUCUGGAUGAAAUUGGCAUUGACAUAUCCUCAAAGGUUUCCAAAGCGCCAUCUGCUCCAUCCAGGCUGGGUGCGUCUUCUGCCACAGAUAACGAAUUUGCAGAUUUGGAAAAACAAUUGGCCAAACUGAAAAGUUAAUUAUCGAGGAAUCGAUCCUCCAUGAUUAUUAUUGCCUUGUGCGACUAUCGCCGGUGCCCGAGUACUAUUAACAUUCUUAUCUCUUCGUAUUCAAUUAUGUCUAUAUCGUUCGAAAAGAAAUGUUGAUACUACCCAUCAAUGUUUUUUUUUUCGACUGUCAACAAAUAGGUCUGCUCGUCUGCUGUACGCCGCAUUUCCAAAUAAUUGCAAACUUUGACAACAAUUCAAUUACAGCAUCAGCAUG
RNA transcript from Daphnia carinata, 1304 nucleotides. It is a transcript of the gene named charged multivesicular body protein 2b-like, with no coding region annotated. The record is from RefSeq and is a predicted model, not a curated record. Lineage: Eukaryota; Metazoa; Arthropoda; Branchiopoda; Diplostraca; Daphniidae. The transcript is spliced from 6 exons.